CCCUUAGAUGUUCUGGGCUGCACGCGCGCUACACUGAAGCGUUCAACGAGUAUUCACCUUGCCCGGGAGGGUUGGGUAAUCUUUUCAAAACGCUUCGUGAUGGGGAUAGAUUAUUGCAAUUAUUAAUCUUCAACGAGGAAUUCCUAGUAAGCGCGAGUCAUCAGCUCGUGCUGAUUACGUCCCUGCCCUUUGUACACACCGCCCGUCGCUCCUACCGAUUGAAUGAUCCGGUGAACCCCUCGGAUUGGUCAGACCAGUUGGCGGGGCAACUCGUCAGCUUCUGGCCGAGAAGUUGGGUAAACCUUAUCAUUUAGAGGAAGGAGAAGUCGUAACA
Molecule: ribosomal RNA, 334 nt
Filed under: uncultured eukaryote
Lineage: Eukaryota
Description: partial 18S ribosomal RNA
Rfam family: Eukaryotic small subunit ribosomal RNA
Source: RNAcentral